RNAcentral lists this ribosomal RNA (204 nucleotides) under uncultured bacterium. RNAcentral describes it as "partial 16S ribosomal RNA". It matches the Rfam family "Bacterial small subunit ribosomal RNA", at positions 28 to 225 of the family's 1533-position model. The record is from RNAcentral.
GAUGAACGCUAGCGGCAGGCUUAAUACAUGCAAGUCGAGGGGCAGCAGGUUUGUAGCAAUACAGAUGCUGGCGACCGGCAAACGGGUGCGGAACACGUACACAACCUUCCUUUAAGUGGGGAAUAGCCCAGAGAAAUUUGGAUUAAUACCCCGUAACAUUAUGAUGUGGCAUCACAUUAUAAUUAUAGCUCCGGCGCUUAAUGA